Chinchilla lanigera (long-tailed chinchilla) is the source of this 515-nucleotide long non-coding RNA. RefSeq lists it as uncharacterized. NCBI's taxonomy places the organism in Eukaryota, Metazoa, Chordata, Mammalia, Rodentia, Chinchillidae. The transcript has 3 exons. The record is from RefSeq and is a predicted model, not a curated record.
CCUGGUUCUCUCCGGGGGCCGGACCCACUCCCGAAGCCGCUCCUUGGCGCCCUAAAACGAGUAGCCCCAACGUGAGAGAAACAAAAGGCUCAGCCAGCUCCAAAGAAGAAAAACAAGGCGGAGGAAGGCAGGAAGCAGAGACUGAAGGGAGGAGCAGGGAUGGGAGUGGACCCUGCCAAGCCUGGCCCGCAGGCACCCAGCCUCUGGGACCAAGACCUGCUGCUGACAGCGCGCUCAGCUAUCAACUCCUGGACUGAUGGACCCGGAAAGAGGACGGUGACAGAGGAAUGCAGGGGACAGAGACAACGGGGAAACAAGCUUGGCGAUUCUCCUCUCUUCCUCCCACAGAGUUAGAUGCACAGUAGAACAACAAGAAGCCUCGAGUCGGACCUUGAUUCACUCAAAAGUAAGGAGCGGCCUGCGAAACCCUCAGAAACCAAGGGUAUCACACACUAAGAAGCUGUCGGUCUUUUCAGUCACACAACCUAGCCUCUGCCAUGUAGCCUAACAAAAAU